This 636-nucleotide ribosomal RNA is filed under the name Cortinarius ceraceus. Its description in RNAcentral is "eukaryotic LSU rRNA". It matches the Rfam family "Eukaryotic large subunit ribosomal RNA", at positions 1 to 620 of the family's 3401-position model. The record is from RNAcentral. Lineage: Eukaryota; Fungi; Basidiomycota; Agaricomycetes; Agaricales; Cortinariaceae.
UGACCUCAAAUCAGGUAGGAUUACCCGCUGAACUUAAGCAUAUCAAUAAGCGGAGGAAAAGAAACUAACAAGGAUUCCCCUAGUAACUGCGAGUGAAGCGGGAAAAGCUCAAAUUUAAAAUCUGGCAGCCUUUGGCUGUCCGAGUUGUAAUCUAGAGAAGUGCUAUCCGCGCUGGACCGUGUACAAGUCUCCUGGAAUGGAGCGUCAUAGAGGGUGAGAAUCCCGUCUUUGACACGGACUGCCAGGGCUUUGUGAUGUGCUCUCGAAGAGUCGAGUUGUUUGGGAAUGCAGCUCAAAAUGGGUGGUAAAUUCCAUCUAAAGCUAAAUAUUGGCGAGAGACCGAUAGCGAACAAGUACCGUGAGGGAAAGAUGAAAAGAACUUUGGAAAGAGAGUUAAACAGUACGUGAAAUUGCUGAAAGGGAAACGCUUGAAGUCAGUCGCGUUGUCCAGGGAUCAACCUUGCUUUUGCUUGGUGCACUUUCUGGUUGACGGGUCAGCAUCAAUUUUGACCAUUGGAAAAAGAUUAGGGGAAUGUGACAUCUUAGGAUGUGUUAUAGCCCUUGGUUGCAUACAAUGGUUGGGAUUGAGGAACUCAGCACGCCGCAAGGCCGGGUUUUAACCACGUACGUGCUAGA